RNAcentral lists this ribosomal RNA (253 nucleotides) under uncultured bacterium. Its description in RNAcentral is "partial 16S ribosomal RNA". It matches the Rfam family "Bacterial small subunit ribosomal RNA", at positions 524 to 776 of the family's 1533-position model. The record is from RNAcentral.
UACGUAGGCAGCAAGCGUUGUUCGGAGUUACUGGGCGUAAAGGGUGUGUAGGCGGUCGGAUAAGUGUGGUGUGAAAUCUCCCGGCUCAACUGGGAGGGUGCGCUACAAACUGUCUGGCUAGAGUGCGGGAUGGGAAAGUGGAAUUCCUGGUGUAGCGGUGAAAUGCGCAGAUAUCAGGAGGAACACCUGUGGUGUAGACAGCUUACUGGACCAUUUCUGACGCUGAGACACGAAAGCGUGGGUAGCAAACAGG